CAGCUAGUGCACAGCUGCUGAGAGGGGAGGUAGAAUGACCCAUCUGAGGAGCUGCGAGAAGGCUGGCUGUGCUGCCCCGUAAGUGUGAGAAGACUGAAAAGGGGAGCCUGGAGGCUGUGAUCAUGUUGCUUCUUUGACCUGAAGGUCCAGGGUAGCCUGGAACCAAUCUAAGCUUCUCUGACUCCUUGGAAUCAGGACUUACCCAGAGGCAGUUCGGGUACAGGGAAGCCACAUUAGAGUAAGAGAAAGUGAAGAAACAGAAGGUAAAACCUCCAUUUCAAAGUCCUUGACAAUGAAAGACAAACUCUGAAAGGUCUCACCAAACUAGGAGGGCUUGGCUCACAGGCCAGACGUGGACCAUGGAUCUGCCAUCUGAGGACCAGCUAUGCUGAACACAGAAAGGCUAAUCCAUCCAUCUGUCCAACCAUCCAGCAAGCAAUAAGCAUUUAUUAAGUGCCUACUAUGUCCCAAGCAUUGUUCUAGGUGCCAGGGAUAGAAAGAAAAAAAUGAAAUGUUGUUGCUAUAAUUCUAGGCAUUUUCUUAAUUGUAUACAAAAUAAAUACACAGUAAAUUUU
Phascolarctos cinereus (koala) is the source of this 575-nucleotide long non-coding RNA. RefSeq lists it as uncharacterized. NCBI's taxonomy places the organism in Eukaryota, Metazoa, Chordata, Mammalia, Diprotodontia, Phascolarctidae. The record is from RefSeq and is a predicted model, not a curated record.